This 443-nucleotide ribosomal RNA is filed under the name Tetragenococcus halophilus. RNAcentral describes it as "partial 16S ribosomal RNA". Lineage: Bacteria; Bacillati; Bacillota; Bacilli; Lactobacillales; Enterococcaceae. The record is from RNAcentral.
CUGGUCAGCUACCGUCAUAGAAAAAGCAUUGCCUCUUUCUCCUGUUCUUUGCUGACAACAGAGCUUUACGAUCCGAAAACCUUCUUCACUCACGCGGCGUUGCUCGGUCAGACUUGCGUCCAUUGCCGAAGAUUCCCUACUGCUGCCUCCCGUAGGAGUCUGGGCCGUGUCUCAGUCCCAGUGUGGCCGAUCACCCUCUCAGGUCGGCUAUGCAUCGUUGCUUUGGUGAGCCGUUACCUCACCAACUGGCUAAUGCACCGCGGGACCAGCCAUCAGUGACGCUGUAAAGCGCCUUUGAGCUUUCUUUCAGGUGAAAAAAAGCCAUAUGCGGUAUUAGCACCUGUUUCCAAGUGUUAUCCCCCGCUGAUAGAUAGGUUCCCCACGUGUUACUCACCCGUCCGCCACUCCUCUUAAGAAAAAACCGAAGUUUCUUCUUAAGCAGC